This 372-nucleotide unclassified non-coding RNA is filed under the name soil metagenome. Its description in RNAcentral is "partial contains 5.8S ribosomal RNA, internal transcribed spacer 2, and large subunit ribosomal RNA". The stretch from base 1 to 120 matches the Rfam family "5.8S ribosomal RNA", at positions 35 to 154 of the family's 154-position model. The record is from RNAcentral.
GAUGAAGAACGCAGCGAAAUGCGAUAAGUAAUGUGAAUUGCAGAAUUCAGUGAAUCAUCGAAUCUUUGAACGCACAUUGCGCCCCCCGGCAUUCCGGGGGGCAUGCCUGUUCGAGCGUCUCCAGGACGAAUCCUCGCGCGAGUGAACGCGCGGUCGUGGCGGAGGUGGCGUGCCCAAGCAGGGCGGCCACCGCGCUGGAAUCCAUGGGCGGACGCCUGCCGCGUGGCCGAGCGUGAUAUGACGCAUUGGCGCUCGUGCGCGGCGAGGCUGCCAGCCCUGGCCCGUCUGUCGGGCGGGGUAGAUCACCACGUGGGAACUCCUCGAAUCAGGUAGGGAUACCCGCUGAACUUAAGCAUAUCAAUAAGCGGAGGA